This is a long non-coding RNA of Zea mays, 1067 nucleotides long. RefSeq lists it as uncharacterized. The transcript is spliced from 2 exons. Lineage: Eukaryota; Viridiplantae; Streptophyta; Magnoliopsida; Poales; Poaceae. The record is from RefSeq and is a predicted model, not a curated record.
CCCCUAGUUAUUUCAACACAUUUAUAUGACACCCGAAUUUAAGGACAAAUCCGAAUGCAUCUUACAUGCGUGACAGGAUCAAGUAUCACACAUAUAAUGAUUCAGGGAAACGACGGUCUAGACCUCUUCGAACUCAUCUUCAUCAUUUUCCUUCGGUGGUAUCUGUUCUUGACCUGGUUUGAUUAUAGCAAGGGUGAGCUCUCAUACGAUCAUCGCUCAGCAAGUGUGGGUAAAAGUGUAGUGUAAGACUUACCAAUGAGAAUUGUUAUGGCUGAGCAUUGCUUUUAACUUUUGUUAGCCAAAAUUUUAUUAGAAAUUACUAAGGGAGUGUUUGAAUGCAUUAGAACUAAUAAUUAGUUGGCUUAAAAUUGUUAGUGGAAUUAGCUAACUAACAAAUAUCUACCUAACUAUUAACUAAUUUACUAAAAUUAGCUAAUAGUUGAACUAUUAGCUAGGGUAUUUGGAUGUCUGAACUAAUUUUAGUCGCUAACUAUUAGCUAUAGUGCAUUCAAACGCCCCUUAAGUAUAAGUAAAUACCAUCCCGAAUAAAUGAGAGAUCAUAAGUAAUAAAAAUUCCCAUAAUGCAAAUGCAUGACAGGUUAAGUUUAGUUCCAUCAUUUAAUCAUGUGAGUGUCUGAGCCGCUCUUGACCGUGAGCACGACUAAUACCAGUUUUACACUCUGCAGAGGUUGGACAUCCGUCUAGCCAGGGUUUGCAAGGCCCUUAGACACUUCCGAGGUAAAUGGCUAGGGAUCCACUGCGAGACCUUUAUAAAGUUCCGCUUGUUCGGAAAACCCCGCUAUGGUUUCAGGCAAAAGGGAGCAUAGUCCUUUUAUCCACGGUCUGUAACCCUAUCGCAGUAAUUACAGACAACACUAUGUUCUGCAGCGAUUCACUCUCUGCUUGCCCUUUCGGGUAAGGUAAUUUCUUACUAGUUUUCCUAAUUAAUUGGUCAAGGGCGUCCCAUUCCACCCUUGUGGUAGCAUAGUUUUCCCGGGUGGUUCUCUAUGUUCCAAUUAACAAAAUGAUCGUAUCAUGAACAAAUGAAUAAUUCAUUGACAAUUAAA